This 428-nucleotide ribosomal RNA is filed under the name bacterium gwi80. Its description in RNAcentral is "bacterial SSU rRNA". It matches the Rfam family "Bacterial small subunit ribosomal RNA", at positions 33 to 506 of the family's 1533-position model. The record is from RNAcentral.
GACGCUGGCGGCAGGCUUAACACAUGCAAGUCGAACGCACCUUUCGGGGUGAGUGGCAGACGGGUGAGUAACGCGUGGGAACGUGCCCUUCAGUUCGGAAUAACCCAGGGAAACUUGGGCUAAUACCGGAUACGUGCGAGAGCAGAAAGAUUUAUCGCUGAAGGAUCGGCCCGCGUCUGAUUAGCUAGUUGGUGGGGUAAUGGCCCACCAAGGCGACGAUCAGUAGCUGGUCUGAGAGGAUGAUCAGCCACAUUGGGACUGAGACACGGCCCAAACUCCUACGGGAGGCAGCAGUGGGGAAUAUUGGACAAUGGGCGCAAGCCUGAUCCAGCCAUGCCGCGUGAGUGAUGAAGGCCUUAGGGUUGUAAAGCUCUUUCGUCCGGGACGAUAAUGACGGUACCGGAAGAAGAAGCCCCGGCUAACUUCGU